Molecule: ribosomal RNA, 645 nt
Filed under: uncultured Actinomycetes bacterium
Lineage: Bacteria; Bacillati; Actinomycetota; Actinomycetes
Description: bacterial SSU rRNA
Rfam family: Bacterial small subunit ribosomal RNA
Source: RNAcentral
CGCGGCCUAUCAGCUUGUUGGUGGGGUAACGGCCCACCAAGGCGACGACGGGUAGCUGGUCUGAGAGGACGGCCAGCCACACUGGGACUGAGACACGGCCCAGACUCCUACGGGAGGCAGCAGUGGGGAAUCUUGCGCCAAUGCGCGAAAGCGUGACGCAGCGACGCCGCGUGGGGGAUGAAGGCCUUCGGGUUGUAAACCCCUUUCGGCAGGGACGAAGCGGAAGUGACGGUACCUGCAGAAGAAGCUCCGGCUAACUACGUGCCAGCAGCCGCGGUAACACGUAGGGAGCGAGCGUUGUCCGGAUUCAUUGGGCGUAAAGCGCGCGUAGGCGGUCGUGCAAGUCGGUCGUGAAAUCCCGGGGCUCAACCCCGUGAACCGCGUCCGAUACUGCGCGACUAGAGGCAGGUAGGGGAGAUCGGAAUUCCUGGUGUAGCGGUGAAAUGCGCAGAUAUCAGGAGGAACACCGGUGGCGAAGGCGGAUCUCUGGGCCUGUCCUGACGCUGAGGCGCGAAAGCUAGGGGAGCGAACAGGAUUAGAUACCCUGGUAGUCCUAGCCGUAAACGUUGGGUGCUAGGUGUGGGCGGACAUCGACCCCGUCCGUGCCGAAGCUAACGCAUUAAGCACCCCGCCUGGGGAGUACGG